GACGAACGCUGGCGGCGUGCUUAACACAUGCAAGUCGAACGGAAAGGCCCUGCUUUUGUGGGGUGCUCGAGUGGCGAACGGGUGAGUAACACGUGAGUAACCUGCCCUUGACUUUGGGAUAACUUCAGGAAACUGGGGCUAAUACCGGAUAGGAGCUCCUGCUGCAUGGUGGGGGUUGGAAAGUUUCGGCGGUUGGGGAUGGACUCGCGGCUUAUCAGCUUGUUGGUGGGGUAGUGGCUUACCAAGGCUUUGACGGGUAGCCGGCCUGAGAGGGUGACCGGCCACAUGGGGACUGAGAGACGGCACAGAAUCCUACGGGAGGCAGCAGUGGGGAAUAUUGCACAAUGGGCGGAAGCCUGAUGCAGAAACGCCGCGUGCGGGAUGACGGCCUUCGGGUUGUAAACCGAUUUCGCCUGUGACGAAGCGUGGGUGACGGUAAUGGGUAAAGAAGCACCGGCUAACUACGUG
RNAcentral lists this ribosomal RNA (468 nucleotides) under uncultured bacterium. RNAcentral's name for it is "partial 16S ribosomal RNA". It matches the Rfam family "Bacterial small subunit ribosomal RNA", at positions 28 to 507 of the family's 1533-position model. The record is from RNAcentral.